This 490-nucleotide ribosomal RNA is filed under the name uncultured bacterium. Its description in RNAcentral is "partial 16S ribosomal RNA". It matches the Rfam family "Bacterial small subunit ribosomal RNA", at positions 28 to 507 of the family's 1533-position model. The record is from RNAcentral.
GAUGAACGCUAGCGGCAGGCCUAAUACAUGCAAGUCGAACGGGAUCCAGAUCAAAGCUUGCUUUGGUCUGGUGAGAGUGGCGCACGGGUGCGUAACGCGUGAGCAACCUACCCUUGUCAGGGGGAUAGCCCGGCGAAAGUCGGAUUAAUACCGCAUGACAUCAUUGAGAGGCAUCUUUCGAUGAUCAAAGAUUUAUCGGACAAGGAUGGGCUCGCGUGACAUUAGCUAGUUGGUAAGGUAACGGCUUACCAAGGCUGCGAUGUCUAGGGGCUCUGAGAGGAGAAUCCCCCACACUGGUACUGAGACACGGACCAGACUCCUACGGGAGGCAGUAGUAAGGAAUAUUGGUCAAUGGACGGAAGUCUGAACCAGCCAUGCCGCGUGCAGGAGGACGGCCCUAUGGGUUGUAAACUGCUUUUAUACGGGAACAAACGUCGGUACGUGUACCGGUCUGAGUGUACCGUAAGAAUAAGGAUCGGCUAACUCCGUG